CCUGCAUCCAGAGUGGCGGAGGGACUGGCCCGAUGAAGCCCGGCAACCGGCGGCUCCAUUUGCCGUGCGGUGCCAAAUCCUGCAGGACCUUUUCGUAGGGGUCCUGGGAGAUGCGGG
Molecule: non-coding RNA, 117 nt
Filed under: Limnochorda pilosa
Lineage: Bacteria; Bacillati; Bacillota; Limnochordia; Limnochordales; Limnochordaceae
Description: SAM-I sequence
Rfam family: SAM riboswitch aptamer (S box leader)
About the family: The SAM riboswitch is found upstream of a number of genes which code for proteins involved in methionine or cysteine biosynthesis in Gram-positive bacteria. The SAM riboswitch acts at the level of transcription termination control.
Source: Rfam by way of RNAcentral